Long non-coding RNA from Strigops habroptila (Kakapo), 102 nucleotides. RefSeq lists it as uncharacterized. NCBI's taxonomy places the organism in Eukaryota, Metazoa, Chordata, Aves, Psittaciformes, Psittacidae. The record is from RefSeq and is a predicted model, not a curated record. The transcript is spliced from 3 exons.
CAUGGAUAUCUUAGAGGAGAACUCUGGAGAGGGGUCUUGGACAAGGGCCUGUAGGGACAGGACAAGGGGAAUGGCUUUAACCUGCCAGAGGGGAGAUUGAGA